This 216-nucleotide ribosomal RNA is filed under the name Glomeromycotina sp. Its description in RNAcentral is "partial small subunit ribosomal RNA". The stretch from base 40 to 216 matches the Rfam family "Eukaryotic small subunit ribosomal RNA", at positions 686 to 864 of the family's 1831-position model. The record is from RNAcentral. Lineage: Eukaryota; Fungi; Glomeromycota.
GGGUCAGUAGGUUGGUCGUGCCACCGGUACGUACUGGCCUCACUGAUUCCUCCUUCCUGAAGAACCGUAAUGCCAUUAAUUUGGUGUUGUGGGGAAACAGGACUGUUACUUUGAAAAAAUUAGAGUGUUUAAAGCAAGCUAACGCUUGAAUACAUUAGCAUGGAAUAAUGAAAUAGGACGAUCGAUCCUAUUUUGUUGGUUUCUAGGAUUGACGUA